GGCCUAAUGGUCUAGUAGUAUGAUUCUCGCUUUGGGCUUGCAAUGCGAGAGGUCCUGGGUUCAAUUCCCAGUUAGGCCC
Stygiomarasmius scandens is the source of this 79-nucleotide non-coding RNA. The record is from the annotation of a GenBank genome assembly. NCBI's taxonomy places the organism in Eukaryota, Fungi, Basidiomycota, Agaricomycetes, Agaricales, Campanellaceae.